Molecule: transfer RNA, 74 nt
Filed under: Planctomycetaceae bacterium
Lineage: Bacteria; Pseudomonadati; Planctomycetota; Planctomycetia; Planctomycetales; Planctomycetaceae
Description: tRNA-Leu
Rfam family: tRNA
About the family: Transfer RNA (tRNA) molecules are approximately 80 nucleotides in length. Their secondary structure includes four short double-helical elements and three loops (D, anti-codon, and T loops).
Source: RNAcentral
GGCUCGGUAGGCAACUGGCAGACCACUUUGGCUCAAACCCAAAGAUGCUGUGGGUUCGAAUCCCACCUGAGCUA